Non-coding RNA from Drosophila suzukii, 1098 nucleotides. NCBI's taxonomy places the organism in Eukaryota, Metazoa, Arthropoda, Insecta, Diptera, Drosophilidae. The record is from RefSeq and is a predicted model, not a curated record.
AGAAAAUUUAGAAAACAUUCUCAGGGUUUACCUCGUCGAUGGGCCUGCGAUUCCGACCCAAUGAUUUCGGCCAGGUGUGUGGGUGAGUAAUUUCAUACUAAUCCAAAUUAAAGAUCCCAGAGCGACCAGAAUAAUGAACUUCCGGCUAACACCCUUCAAGCCCAUUAAACCUCGAAAAGCAAUUGAGUGCCUGCCAAGUGGGACCUUCAGACAUCCCCAAUGUCCGACCAUAUCAACCCAGAUCUUCGAUGUCAUAACACCUACAUAUGGCAACCAGUUCGCUUCCCAUGACAAAUGCUCUAUCUCUUAUCAGCCUACUGGAACUAGCCGUGUAUUGCUACAUCUAGACCGUUUUAAUUAUUUUGUACAAUCGAAUACACGCACUUGAGAGCAAUAUAUGGUAGUACGUUAUAUAGGGUCGGUGUUAUAUAUUCCUAUAAAGUAUACAUACGUAUAGCUAUAUACCCCUGAUAAGCCAGUAUGUGUCCGGAUUGAAAUGUUUAAUUUACAAUUGAGAUAGUUCCGAGGGUUUUGAGAACAGUGGCUUCAAAUUUUUGGACGGAGAGCAGGUAAAAGAGGAAUAUCGAAUCUGAAGAGCGGACCAAAAACAAAGAAAAAGAACGGGCAAGAAGAAGAACUAGUGUAACAGGUAGUCGCGUUUUCGUUUUGUUCCUAUAUCAGGGCUCUCUUUUCUCUCCACAGAAGGGCAUGAAAAAUCCCGGUAAAUAAUCUUUCCCUAUACCCGAAACACAGCAGCUCCAAUCUGAAAAACAAAACCACUUCAGCAUCCAAAAGUACAAAAACAACGACAACACAACGGGUUCCAAGAACUUGUCGCCUCCGCACACAAAUACAGACACAGACGGAGCUCCAAUAUGGCAGAUUCCGAGUUAAGAGUUGGCAGGGCGCGGGGUGGGGUUGGGGUCGUGUCCCAACGGGGGGUUAAAUGCAUCGGCAGACUCAUGAGCGUCGGCGUUGCCAGAUGACGAUAAAAUUAAAUCAUAAAUCUUGGGUGCUGAAAAAACAACUGUCUUAACCCCAGAAGGUAUGCAACAUUUUAAUAUAAUAUUUGAAAAUUUUGAAUUUCUUAAAAUAAUG